GGAGGGUGGUCCCUUCGACUUCAAAAGAUGAUUUCCAGGGCUGGUGCUACUGCCAACCAUCACAGGCAUAUUCAGAAGAGAGGUUCUCUCUCCAAAAUUGUGUAGGAGAGGCCUUCUACCCUAACUCAGAAGCUCUGUGUGCUCCUGAUUUUUGAUGCCCAAGUCCUUCUAGAGCUCCUUCUGCAUGAAUAGAAGAACCUGGAACUUGAACUAUGCUGAGGACCAGAUAAGACUGCCAUAAACACCUCCACAUAUAUGCCUAAUAUAGUACACCCUUUAGUAGACUGCAGUGUAACAGUUUUGAAAUCCAAUCUUGUGUAAAGGACAUGUACUCAAGAUCUGGCUACCUAACACUGCUCCUCUUGGGAUAAGGCCUUGAUCAGUCUUCUGCAUCCAAGAUUCUUUGACAGAGCACCAACCUGGCCUGGUCAAAGCCCAUUGCUGUUAAGGCUUGCGAUGAUAAACCAUAAAUCGCCCAGAGACGUAAGUUUUGGGCAGUAUAAAAAUAUAUUAAAUAAAAUAAUAAUAAAUGCUCAGGAGACUUAUAGGGCAAUAAUUUGCAGAACAUUCCUCUGAAGCUGCUGUUUGCCCCGAAGUGGAUAUUUGCAGCAAAUUGCCUUUUCAGUGAGCUGUGUCGAUACUGAAUUCCAUUGAAACCUUCACCUUCUCUGCAGGCACAGUUUCCUGAAACCUGCCCAUGAUGAGUGCCAUUGAAUAGGUUAUUGUAUAGGAAAAGAGAUUUAUACAUCUAGCAGCAUCCAAGACAAUAAGAACUGAUCACUUUUGAAAAUAUA
This is a long non-coding RNA of Hemicordylus capensis (graceful crag lizard), 794 nucleotides long. RefSeq lists it as uncharacterized. The record is from RefSeq and is a predicted model, not a curated record. NCBI's taxonomy places the organism in Eukaryota, Metazoa, Chordata, Lepidosauria, Squamata, Cordylidae. The transcript has 7 exons.